AGCGAACGCUGGCGGCAGGCCUAACACAUACAAGUCGAACGAACCUUUCGGGGUUAGUGGCGGACGGGUGAGUAACACGUGGGAACGUGCCUUUAGGUUCGGAAUAACUCAGGGAAACUUGUGCUAAUACCGAAUGUGCCCUUCGGGGGAAAGAUUAAUCGCCUUUAGAGCGGCCCGCGUCUGAUUAGCUAGUUGGUUGAGGUAAUGGCUCACCAAGGCGACGAUCAGUAGCUGGUCUGAGAGGAUGAUCAGCCACAUUGGGACUGAGACACGGCCCAAACUCCUACGGGAGGCAGCAGUGGGGAAUCUUGCGCAAUGGGCGAAAGCCUGACGCAGCCAUGCCGCGUGAAUGAUGAAGGUCUUAGGAUUGUAAAAUUCUUUCACCGGGGACGAUAAUGACGGUACCCGGAGAAGAAGCCCCGGCUAACUUCGUG
This 434-nucleotide ribosomal RNA is filed under the name uncultured bacterium. RNAcentral's name for it is "partial 16S ribosomal RNA". It matches the Rfam family "Bacterial small subunit ribosomal RNA", at positions 29 to 507 of the family's 1533-position model. The record is from RNAcentral.